UACAGAGGGGGCAAGCGUUGUUCGGAAUUACUGGGCGUAAAGGGCGCGUAGGCGGCCCGCUAAGUCGAACGUGAAAUCCCUGGGCUCAACCCAGGAACUGCGUCCGAUACUGGCAGGCUUGAAUCCGGGAGAGGGAUGUGGAAUUCCAGGUGUAGCGGUGAAAUGCGUAGAUAUCUGGAGGAACACCGGUGGCGAAGGCGGGUCUCUGGGCCGAUACUGACGCUGAGGAGCGAAAGCGUGGGGAGCGAACAGG
This 253-nucleotide ribosomal RNA is filed under the name uncultured bacterium. Its description in RNAcentral is "partial 16S ribosomal RNA". It matches the Rfam family "Bacterial small subunit ribosomal RNA", at positions 524 to 776 of the family's 1533-position model. The record is from RNAcentral.